UGCGUAGGCGGACCAGUAAGUCAGUGGUGAAAUCUUUCGGCUCAACCGAGAAACUGCCAUUGAUACUGUUGGUCUUGAGUUCGGCAGAGGUAGGCGGAAUGUGUAAUGUAGCGGUGAAAUGCUUAGAUAUUACACAGAACACCAAUUGCGUAGGCAGCUUACUAUACCGACACUGACGCUGAGGCACGAAAGCGUGGGGAGCGAACAGGAUUAGAUACCCUGGUAGUCC
RNAcentral lists this ribosomal RNA (229 nucleotides) under uncultured bacterium. Its description in RNAcentral is "partial 16S ribosomal RNA". It matches the Rfam family "Bacterial small subunit ribosomal RNA", at positions 568 to 796 of the family's 1533-position model. The record is from RNAcentral.